RNAcentral lists this ribosomal RNA (494 nucleotides) under uncultured bacterium. RNAcentral describes it as "partial 16S ribosomal RNA". It matches the Rfam family "Bacterial small subunit ribosomal RNA", at positions 28 to 507 of the family's 1533-position model. The record is from RNAcentral.
GACGAACGCUGGCGGCGUGCCUAAUACAUGCAAGUCGAACGCUGAAGGAGGAGCUUGCUUCUCCGGAUGAGUUGCGAACGGGUGAGUAACGCGUAGGUAACCUGCCUGGUAGCGGGGGAUAACUAUUGGAAACGAUAGCUAAUACCGCAUAAGAGUAGAUGUUGCAUGACAUUUGCUUAAAAGGUGCAAUUGCAUCACUACCAGAUGGACCUGCGUUGUCUUAGCUAGUUGGUGGGUAACGGCUUACCAAGGCGACGAUACAUAGCCGACCUGAGAGGGUGAUCGGCCACACUGGGACUGAGACACGGCCCAGACUCCUACGGGAGGCAGCAGUAGGGAAUCUUCGGCAAUGGACGGAAGUCUGACCGAGCAACGCCGCGUGAGUGAAGAAGGGUUUCGGAUCGUAAAGCUCUGUUGUAAGAGAAGAACGAGUGUGAGAGUGGAAAGUUCACACUGUGACGGUAUCUGACCAGAAAGGGACGGCUAACUACGUG